RNAcentral lists this ribosomal RNA (383 nucleotides) under uncultured bacterium. RNAcentral describes it as "bacterial SSU rRNA". It matches the Rfam family "Bacterial small subunit ribosomal RNA", at positions 43 to 377 of the family's 1533-position model. The record is from RNAcentral.
GGCCGCGGGAAUUCGAUUCAGGCCUAACUCAUGCAAGUCGCACGGGAAUAUUGGGAGAUGAGUUAGUUGGGAUCGAUUAUAGUUUAAUCCUUAUAGUUAGAGGAAGACGUGUGAGUACCGCCUUGUCACCCUGCCUUUCACAGGGGGAUAGCAGCUGGAAACGGCUGGUAAUACCGCAUACGCUCAGUGCACCGCAUGGUGUGCUGAGGAAAGAUUUAUCGGUGAAAGAUGGAUCCGCGUCUGAUUAGCCAGUUGGCGGGGUAACGGCCCACCAAAGCGACGAUCAGUAGCCGGCCUGAGAGGGCGGACGGCCACAUUGGGACUGAGACACGGCCCAGACUCCUACGGGAGGCAGCACAGUGGGGGAUAUUGCACAAUGGGCG